CUGACCUGCCCUAUGAGAAAUUAAAUGGCCGCGGUAUUUUAACCGUGCAAAGGUAGCAUAGUCACUUGUCUCUUAAUUGGAGGCUUGAAUGAAGGGUUGGACGAGAUAUAAACUUUCUUUAUUAUAAUYAGUUGAAUUUGACUUUUGAGUCAAAAGGCUUAAAUAUAUUUAUAGGACGAGAAGACCCUAUAGAAUUUUAUAUUUUUAUUUUAAUAAUUUAUUUGUUUAUAAUUAAAUUUUUUUUAUAAAAAUAUUUUGUUGGGGCGAUGGGAAGAUUUUUUUAACUCU
Molecule: ribosomal RNA, 288 nt
Filed under: Belostoma angustum
Lineage: Eukaryota; Metazoa; Arthropoda; Insecta; Hemiptera; Belostomatidae
Description: partial large subunit ribosomal RNA
Source: RNAcentral